RNAcentral lists this ribosomal RNA (205 nucleotides) under uncultured bacterium. Its description in RNAcentral is "partial 16S ribosomal RNA". It matches the Rfam family "Bacterial small subunit ribosomal RNA", at positions 1288 to 1500 of the family's 1533-position model. The record is from RNAcentral.
UCAGUUCGGAUCGGAGUCUGCAACCCGACUCCGUGAAGCUGGAUUCGCUAGUAAUCGCGCAUCAGCCAUGGCGCGGUGAAUACGUUCCCGGGCCUUGUACACACCGCCCGUCAAGCCAUGGGAGCCGGGAGCGCUUGAAGUGCGUCGCCGCGAGGCGCGCCCUAGAGCGAGACCGGUGACUGGGGCUAAGUCGUAACAAGGUAUC